AUUGAACGCUGGCGGCAGGCCUAACACAUGCAAGUCGAGCGGAUGAAGGGAGCUUGCUCCUGGAUUCAGCGGCGGACGGGUGAGUAAUGCCUAGGAAUCUGCCUGGUAGUGGGGGAUAACGUCCGGAAACGGGCGCUAAUACCGCAUACGUCCUGAGGGAGAAAGUGGGGGAUCUUCGGACCUCACGCUAUCAGAUGAGCCUAGGUCGGAUUAGCUAGUUGGUGGGGUAAAGGCCUACCAAGGCGACGAUCCGUAACUGGUCUGAGAGGAUGAUCAGUCACACUGGAAAUGAGAAACGGUCCAGGAUCCUACGGGGGGCAGCAGGGGGGAAUAUUGGGCAGUGGGCGAAAGCCUAAUCCAGCCAUGGCGGGUGUGUGAAGAAGGUCUUCGGAUUGUAAAGCACUUUAAGUUGGGAGGAAGGGAAGUAAGUUAAAACCUUGCUGUUUUGGCGUUACCAACAAAAAAAGCCCCGGCUAACUUCGU
This 483-nucleotide ribosomal RNA is filed under the name uncultured bacterium. RNAcentral describes it as "partial 16S ribosomal RNA". It matches the Rfam family "Bacterial small subunit ribosomal RNA", at positions 30 to 506 of the family's 1533-position model. The record is from RNAcentral.